RNAcentral lists this small RNA (109 nucleotides) under Alkalihalobacillus alcalophilus. RNAcentral describes it as "Bacillus alcalophilus Guanidine-I sequence". It matches the Rfam family "Guanidine-I riboswitch aptamer". From Rfam's summary of the family: This family represents a conserved RNA structure found upstream of the ykkC and yxkD genes in Bacillus subtilis and related genes in other bacteria. Lineage: Bacteria; Bacillati; Bacillota; Bacilli; Caryophanales; Bacillaceae. RNAcentral also lists the same sequence under 1 other name. The record is from RNAcentral.
AAAAUGGUCUUGUAGGGUUCCGCAAAUUGGUUCAUUUGGUCUGGUCCAAGACAAGGCACACAUCUUUAUAUAAAAAGAUGUGACACGGAGGGAUAAAAGCCCGGGAGAU